This is a long non-coding RNA of Oenanthe melanoleuca, 294 nucleotides long. RefSeq lists it as uncharacterized. The record is from RefSeq and is a predicted model, not a curated record. NCBI's taxonomy places the organism in Eukaryota, Metazoa, Chordata, Aves, Passeriformes, Muscicapidae. The transcript has 3 exons.
GCGGCCGUGGCUGGAGCCGGACACUUCAGCCGCAGUUUCGAGGAGGAGCUGGACACGGGCUGGGCGCUGUCCCCGCUCAGCGCUGCUGUCGAAGUACCCGCCUCAGCUCAGUUCAAUCUCUUCCCAUUGGUCGUCGGCGUCGUCGUGGGCGUGGCCUCGCUGCUCCUCGUGCUCCUAUUGGCUGCUUGGCUGUGCCGGAGGAGGAGGGGGGGUUCUCGCUGGCGGGGGCUGAGCCCUGGUGACGACACCAGGACUUUGCCCAUGGCGGACAUGGAGGUGGCCGCCUGAGCUGGG